RNAcentral lists this ribosomal RNA (429 nucleotides) under uncultured bacterium. RNAcentral describes it as "bacterial SSU rRNA". It matches the Rfam family "Bacterial small subunit ribosomal RNA", at positions 30 to 459 of the family's 1533-position model. The record is from RNAcentral.
AUUGAACGCUGGCGGCAUGCCUUACACAUGCAAGUCGAACGGCAGCGCGGGGCAACCUGGCGGCGAGUGGCGAACGGGUGAGUAAUAUAUCGGAACAUACCCUAGAGUGGGGGAUAACGUAGCGAAAGUUACGCUAAUACCGCAUACGCACUAAGGUGGAAAGUGGGGGAUCUUCGGACCUCAUGCUCAUGGAGUGGCCGAUAUCUGAUUAGCUAGUUGGUGAGGUAAAGGCUCACCAAGGCUACGAUCAGUAGCUGGUUUGAGAGAACGACCAGCCACACUGGAACUGAGACACGGUCCAGACUCCUACGGGAGGCAGCAGUGGGGAAUUUUGGACAAUGGGGGGCAACCCUGAUCCAGCAAUGCCGCGUGAGUGAAGAAGGCCUCGGGUUGUAAAGGACUCUUUUGUCUAGGGAGAACGGUGAGUUC